GCGGUGGGAUUCUAGCGGCGGCGCCAGCCUCAAGAGCUGGCGGGGCAACCCAUCCCGGUUCGAGCCCGGUCGUUCGCA
Molecule: transfer RNA, 78 nt
Filed under: Gemmatimonas sp.
Lineage: Bacteria; Pseudomonadati; Gemmatimonadota; Gemmatimonadia; Gemmatimonadales; Gemmatimonadaceae
Description: tRNA-Leu
Source: RNAcentral